AUACGGAGGGGGCAAGCGUUGUUCGGAAUUACUGGGCGUAAAGAGUACGUAGGCGGAUCGUUAAGUUAGAGGUGAAAUCCCAGGGCUCAACCCUGGAACUGCCUUUAAUACUGGCGAUCUAGAGAUCGAGAGAGGUGAGUGGAAUUUCCAGUGUAGAGGUGAAAUUCGUAGAUAUUGGAAAGAACACCAGUGGCGAAGGCGGCUCACUGGCUCGAUACUGACGCUGAGGUACGAAAGCGUGGGGAGCAAACAGAAUUAGAAACCCUAGUAGUCC
This 274-nucleotide ribosomal RNA is filed under the name uncultured bacterium. RNAcentral describes it as "partial 16S ribosomal RNA". It matches the Rfam family "Bacterial small subunit ribosomal RNA", at positions 523 to 796 of the family's 1533-position model. The record is from RNAcentral.